This is a long non-coding RNA of Odontomachus brunneus, 2036 nucleotides long. RefSeq lists it as uncharacterized. The transcript is spliced from 3 exons. The record is from RefSeq and is a predicted model, not a curated record. Lineage: Eukaryota; Metazoa; Arthropoda; Insecta; Hymenoptera; Formicidae.
GCCCGAAUCUACCCCAUAGUCAGUCCGAAGGUCGCCGCGUAAGCUCGCGGGCGAGCGCGACGUUUGCGUUAGCUGUGCGCUGUCGCCAUUGCCGCCGACGUUUUAUAUAUUACGUCUAACGUGAUUGUACGCUUCGCACAUACGUAUAUCUAUACGCGUAUGUACGUGUAUAUGUGUAAUAAUCGCGACGCAACAUAGAAGGAGAGAAGGAGAGAGAGGGAGAGGAGGGAAGAGAGAGAGAGAGAGAAAGAGAGAGAGAGAGAAAGAGAGAGAGAGAGAGCGCUAGUUUACCCACGCGUCUGGACGUCUAUUUCGUUGUUCACGCAUCGUCGUAAAUCGCGGAAGUGGUAUUCGUUUCGGUUUCGCGAGGGAGAUUUAGGUACGUCGGAAGGAGCAAAACGCAACGGAGCACAGCGAAGCGGCGAGCCGCCGAGUUGCCGAGCGACGGAGUAACGACGUCUAUCUACUCUCGAUGGUGAUGGUAACUCAUAUAUGCUGAGGCGAUAAUGAAACACUGAAGGAUCUCCACUCGCGAAAGUGGAUGAAGAAGGCAUGAAGAUGAGUGCUUGUAAGAAUUGAAGGGGAAAAUCUACACAACGAAUAGCAACAGCCUGCCUCGUCCAUUGCGACCAGCCACAUAUCUCACGUUAAGAUGAAACUUCUUUUUGGGCAAAUUCUUCUAUCAGACAUGCCUGGUCUACCCACGCCAAUAAAUUCAUCAAGCGGACCGUUAAACAUCCGGUAAAGAUGUACGCCUGGGGCUGUUUCUCAAAGCACGGAUUUAGUACUUUGCACACCUUUACAAAAAAUUUGGACACAAAAUGGUCAAAAUAUAUCAGAGGGUUUUGUUACCAUCUACCCAAAAGUGGUUUAGAAAGGAAAAUGAAAAUUGGCUAUUGCAAAAGGACAAUAAUCCAAAACAGAGUAGAUUUUAUACUGCGUGGAAACAAGAAAAUGAUGUUGACGUACUGGAUUGGCCUUCACAGUCGCCAGAUACAAGCCCCAUAGAAAAUGUUUGGGCGCUCAUGAAGUUUAAGCUCCGAGGAAAAAAGACAUGAGAAUUUUGCACAUGGCUAUUAGAAAAUAAAAGAAGACAUCCUGGUUUUGUCCUCUAAUUUUCUUUACAGACGAAUCAUAUUUUACUCGCGAAGGUGUGUUUAACAUUUAUAAUUCUCAUAUUUGGAGUGAUGAAAAUCCAAACGCAUAUCAUAUCAGUAGAUUCCAACAUAAAUUUCAAAUUAAUUUGUGGGCUGGAAUCAUUAAUGACCGAAUGGUAUUAUCUUACAUGUUAAUUUUCUUAUUAAAAUUAUCAUUAUAUUAAAUUAUUGUAUUCAAAGAAAUGUUAAUAAUAAUUAAUGUUAAUGUUGUACUAUUUUAGAUUGGACUAUAUGUUUUGUCACCGAGGUUAAAUGGAAAUGCAUAUUUCAAAUUUAUGAUAAACGAGUUACAACAAUUACUUGAAGAUGUUCCAUUAAAUGAGCGAUUAAAUAUGAUUUUUUAACACGAUGGAGCACCUCCUCACUUUACAAGAAGAGUCCAAAAUAUAUUAAACGAAACAUAUCCAAAUCGAUGGAUUGGACGUAACGGUCUAAUUAAUUGGCCACUGAGAUCCCUAGAUAUAACGCCAAUGGACUUCUUCCUCGGGGGCAUUUAAAACAACAUAUUUAUCAAGGCGAACCAAUUCAAAAUAAAGAGGAGUUGCAUAAUCGUAUUAACAAAAGAUUGGCAACAUUCACUAAUGAAAUAAUCAAAAAUUCUGGUCGUGAUUUAUUAAGACGAGCACAAUUAUAUAUACAAUCGGGUGGAUGACAUUUUGAGCAGCUUUUAUAAAUGGCCAAAAAAAAUAUUAAAAAUAUAUGAUUAUUGUUGACAUAAAUACUUUUGUCUUAAAGUUUCUUUAUAAAAUUUUAAUUUUUUAAAUAUAAAAUAUUUGAUUAUAUAAUAAUAUUUGAUUAUAUUACAUAAAAAAUAUGCGAUUUGAAACCUGUUAUAUUUUUAUUUUUUAUGUUUGACUUAGCUAUGAUCACGUAUUCAGA